RNAcentral lists this long non-coding RNA (2131 nucleotides) under Homo sapiens (human). Its description in RNAcentral is "HSALNT0270326". The record is from RNAcentral. Lineage: Eukaryota; Metazoa; Chordata; Mammalia; Primates; Hominidae.
GCUGUUCCUUGUCCUGGAGAAACGUCUCAGAGGUCCCCGGAGGGAGCUGGCAAAGCCAAUGACGCCUGAGUGGCUGCUGCCUGCGCCAGAGCUGCAGGGGAGGCUCGGUGCUGGGAAGAAUGCACGUUCCAGGGCCCUCUUUCAGCCUCUCUCAAGCCUGAAUUUGGGAAGACUGCGGCCAGUAAAAAUGCUCCAUAAAAUGUUCCACAUGGUUUCCGGCGCGCGUGCGCUCUGUGAAAUGGCUCGAGAAGCGAUUAGCACGACCAUCCCUCACAUACUUACAUUUUUUUGUGGUGAGAACAUUUAAAGCCCACUCUUUCCAGUUCUUAAGUAUGCAUUAAUAGCUGUAAUCACCAUGUUGUACAUCAGAGCUCCAGAACUUACUCAUCUUAGAGCUGAAACUUUGUGCUCUCUGGCCGGCGUCUCUGCUGCCCCCUCCAGCCCCUGGUAAACACCCUACCGCUCUGGAUUUCAUGAGUUCAACUUGAAUUUUAGCGUCCACGUGUAAGUGAGAGCACGCAGUAUCUGUCUGUCUGUGCCUGGCUUAUUUCACUUGGCAUAAUGUCCUCCACGUUCAUCCAGGUUGUUGCAAAUGACUGAAUCUCAUUCUUUUUUGUUUUUUGAGACGGAGUCUUGCUCUGUCACCCAGGCACCAUCUCAGCUCACUGCAACCUCCGCCUCCCGGGUUCAAGCGAUUCUCCUGACUUAGCCUCUGAGUAGCUGGGAUUACAGGCAUGUGCCACCACGCCCGGCUGAUUUUUGUACCUUUAGUAGAGAUGGGGUCUCACCAUGUUGGCUGGUCUCGAACUCCUGACCUCAGGUGAUCUGCCCGCCUUGGCCUCCCAGAGUGCCGGGGUUACAAGCAUGAGCCACCGCGCCUGGCCUGAAUCUCAUUCAUUUCUAUGGCUGAGUAGUACUCCGCUGUGUAUCUACACUACAUAUGUAAAAUUCACUCAUCUGCCAUCGGACUCUUCCAUAUCUUGGCAGUUGUGGGCAGUGCAGCAGUGAACACGGGGGUGCUGAUGUCUCCCCGAGGUGCAGAGUCCACUUCCCUUGGGUGCCUCCCCAGCAGAGGGAUUGCUGGAUCCUAGGACAGUUGUAUUUUUAAUUUUUUGACGAACUGCCAUAGUGUUUUCCAUAAUGGCUGUACUAAUUUACAUUUCCACCAACACUGCACCAGGGUUCCUCUUGUCCACAUCCUCCCCAACGCUGGCUGGCUUUUGUGUUUUCAUAAUUGCCCUCCUAACAGGUGUGAGGCAAUAGCCCAUUUGGUUUUGAUUUCCAUUUCCCUGAUGAGUGCUGAUGGGACACUUUUGUCAUAUGCCUGUUUCCCAUUAUCCUGUCUUCUUCGGAGAAAUCUCUGUGGAGGUCUUUGACCUGCCUUAAAAUUGAGUUCCUUAUUUUCUUGCUGGUGAGUCCCACAUGUAUCUGGAUGUCCAUUCCUUAUCAAUGUAUGACUGGAAACAUUUUCUCCUGCCCGGAGGAAAUAUUUGUUUUCCUCUGCUUGUUUCCUUUGCUGUGCUGAAGCUGUUUAAUCUGAUGCUGUCUCGCGUGUGUGCGUUUGUGCUGCCUUUGUUUUGAUGUCAUAUUUCCAGGGAUUUCUUAAAAGUGCACCUGCACUCACCGUUGAUGGGAACGCAUGACGGUGCGGCCACUGUGGAAAGCAUUAGGGCUGUUUCUCAAAAAAUUAAAAAUUAAAUUCCACUUCUGGGUAUAUACCUCCCAAAACUGAAAGCAAGGGCACGAAGAGAUAUUCGUCCAUCCCUAUUUGUAGCAGCCAUAUUCACAAUCACCAAAGGUGGACACAACACGGUGUCUCCUGACAGAUGCAUGGUCCAUCCACACAAGGGGAUAUCACUCAAUCUUAAAACCAAAGGAAGCUCUGACACCUACUACAACAUGGAAAGACCCUGGGGACAUACUGCUCAGUGAAGUAAGCCAGUCACAAAGGGACAAGUACUGCAUGAUUCUACUUACAGGAGGUCCCUAGUCAAGUUCACUGAGCCAGACAGUAGGAUGGGGGUUGUCAGAGGCUGGGGAGAGGAAAAAGGGGGAGUUACUGUUUACUGAGUAUAGAGUUUCAGGUGUGCAAGAUGGAAAGUGUUCUGGAAAUGGAUGGUGGUGAUGAAUU